Molecule: long non-coding RNA, 1186 nt
Organism: Podarcis raffonei (Aeolian wall lizard)
Lineage: Eukaryota; Metazoa; Chordata; Lepidosauria; Squamata; Lacertidae
Exons: 2
Source: RefSeq, a predicted model, not a curated record
ACAAAGGCUCGUCCAAACUGCUGUCUUCUUGCGCCCCCCACUGCUGACGAGCCGCAGAGAUCAAAAGGAGCCACACAGCCCAUUUCUCUCUUCCCUUUCCUUCCCUCUCUCCCUCCCGGCACUGAGGGCUCCGUUUGGCGGCCAGGCUUUGCUUUUGUGCGCGCGUUUGCUGCCUCUCCCCGGAGCGACUUCUCUUUCCCCUGCAAAAGAAACCUCCUGCAACUUUGCCAAGGAGGAGAGGAGAGGAAAGGACGACGGCGCAAAGAUAUUCCGAGUCCUUCCUGGACUGCAGAGCUUGGCAACGGAGCCUUUCCAGGUGGGGACCGAUUCCUGGACGACCCCCGGGAGCGAAAUUUGGGCUAGUCUAACGGGUCCGAUUGCCAAGCAAAGUCUGAAACGGCCCGAAAUUUCCACGCUUAGCCCAUUUCUUUGGAGGAAAGUCCUACCCACAAACCAGUAAGGCCGAAGCACUGGACUUCAUCAUUUAGAGCAGCUGAGUCUUCUGGGCGGCGUACGGUGGACACGGAACCGUCAGCGAUUCACAGGUCGCGCAGCCUAGAGACCCUUUGAGCGCUUUUGGGCCAGUCUGUCUGCCUUUCUCUGCCUCUGCCUCAGUUUGUCUUCUCUGAAAUGGGAAUGUUAAUCGUCUAGGAUUGCCGGAUUGCCUCGAGAGUAAGAUGCAAACUGCGAGGCGCGUUGUAUGGCCUGCGCAAAACAAAACCUAGCGAAACGCUCGCUGGAGCCGAAGCUCAACGCUUGAGGAACUCGGAAAUCAAUCCCACUGUUUUCAAUGAGGUUUCCUCGCUAGCAGGCGUGUUUAGCGUUGUAGCAGAAUCCCAGUGGCAGAAUUAAAAGAACUGUUGCAUUGAAGCCAGUGGGACUUUAAGGACUUAACUUGGCCUGGGCUUUCGCGCCCAGUUUAAUUUCGGGCUCAUCUGACUGAGAGAUGGACGGCUGACGUCAGAUAUCAGUAACAAAGAGCCCGGCGGCCCCUGAAAGACCAGCACAUUUUGGAUGGCAUUUGCUAGUCUCUCAGGUGCCGCGGGACCCUUUCUUUUGUUUUGGUGCAACCGACUAACAUGGCUACCCGCCCUGAAGCAGAAAUGUAUCCAACACACUUCCGCGUAUUUGAAUGGACGUGCUGUAACGGCAUGGUAAUAAAAUCUGCUUUUCCAUUCAUUUUAAA